RNAcentral lists this ribosomal RNA (253 nucleotides) under uncultured bacterium. RNAcentral describes it as "partial 16S ribosomal RNA". It matches the Rfam family "Bacterial small subunit ribosomal RNA", at positions 524 to 776 of the family's 1533-position model. The record is from RNAcentral.
UACGUAGGGCGCAAGCGUUGUCCGGAAUUAUUGGGCGUAAAGAGCUCGUAGGCGGUUUGUCGCGUCUGCUGUGAAAACUCGGGGCUUAACCCCGGGCCUGCAGUGGGUACGGGCAGACUAGAGUGCGGUAGGGGAGACUGGAAUUCCCGGUGUAGUGGUGAAAUGCGUAGAUAUCGGGAGGAACACCAGUGGCGAAGGCGACUACCUGGCCUGUUCUUGACGCUGAGGCGCGAAAGCUAGGGGAGCAAACGGG